This 445-nucleotide ribosomal RNA is filed under the name uncultured bacterium. RNAcentral describes it as "bacterial SSU rRNA". It matches the Rfam family "Bacterial small subunit ribosomal RNA", at positions 355 to 822 of the family's 1533-position model. The record is from RNAcentral.
UGGGGAAUAUUGCACAAUGGGCGAAAGCCUGAUGCAGCAACGCCGCGUGCGGGAAGAAGGCCCUAGGGUUGUAAACCGCUUUCAGCAGGGAAGAAAAUGACGGUACCUGCAGAAGAAGGUGCGGCCAACUACGUGCCAGCAGCCGCGGUGACACGUAGGCACCAAGCGUUGUCCGGAUUUAUUGGGCGUAAAGAGCUCGUAGGCGGUUCAGUAAGUCGGGUGUGAAAACUCUGGGCUCAACCCAGAGACGCCACCCGAUACUGCUGUGACUUGAGUACGGUAGGGGAGUGGGGAAUUCCUGGUGUAGCGGUGAAAUGCGCAGAUAUCAGGAGGAACACCAGUGGCGAAGGCGCCACUCUGGGCCGUAACUGACGCUGAGGAGCGAAAGCGUGGGGAGCAAACAGGAUUAGAUACCCAGGUAGUCCCUGAGCGGGCUGGCAAGGCG